CAGCAGUGGGGGAAUUUUGGACAAUGGGCGCAAGCCUGAUCCAGCUAACCGCGUGAGUGAAGAAGGCCUUCGGGUUGUAAAGCUCUCUCGCAAGGGAAGAAACUUACCUUCUAAUAAGGGUGUCUUAGUACUGACCGUAACCUUGAUAAGAAGCACCGGCUAACUACGUG
This 170-nucleotide ribosomal RNA is filed under the name uncultured bacterium. RNAcentral describes it as "partial 16S ribosomal RNA". It matches the Rfam family "Bacterial small subunit ribosomal RNA", at positions 349 to 507 of the family's 1533-position model. The record is from RNAcentral.